RNAcentral lists this long non-coding RNA (10245 nucleotides) under Triticum aestivum (bread wheat). Its description in RNAcentral is "long non-coding RNA (TAES_LNC026016)". The record is from RNAcentral. Lineage: Eukaryota; Viridiplantae; Streptophyta; Magnoliopsida; Poales; Poaceae.
GGAAAAGAGAUACAUAGUUGGCUUACAAUCGCCACUUCACACAAUUACAUGAAUAAAACAUUACAUCAUCCAGAUACAAACAAGGUCCGACUACGGAACCAAAAUAAAAGAAGAACCCCAAAUGCGACAAAGGUCCCCGAUCGACCCCAACUGGGCUCCACUACUGAUCAACUAGAACGAAACAACAUAAAGGACAAGAUCUUCAACGAGCUCCUCCUUGAGCUUGGUUGCGUCAUCUGCACGGACUCAUCGGCACCUGUAAACUGGUUUUGGAAGUAUCUAUGAGCCACGGGGACUCAGCAAUCUCGCACCCUCGCGAUCAAGAAUAUUUAAGCUUAUAGGUAAGGCAAGGUAAAAAUGUGGAGCUGCAGCAAGCGACUAGCAAAUAUGGUGGCUAACAUACGCAAAUGAGAGCGAGAAGAGAAGGCAAAGCACGGUCGAUAGAAGUAUGAUCAAGAAGUGAUCCUAGAACAACCUACGUCAAGCAUAACUCCAACACCGUGUUCAUUUCCCGGACUCCGCCGGAAAGAGACCAGCACGGUUACACACGCGGUUGACUCAUCUUAAUUAAGUUAAGGUUCAAGUUAUCUACAACCGGACAUUAACAAAUUCCCAUCUGCCCAUAACCGCGGGCACGCCUUUCGAAAGUUCAAAUCCCUGUAGGGGUGUCACAACUUAGCCCAUGACAAGCUCUCACGGUCAACGAAGGAUUAGACCUCCUCCCGAGACAUUCCGAUCAGACUCGGUAUCCCGGUAUAACAAGACAUUUCGACAGGGUAAAACUAAACCAGCAACACCGCCCGAAUGUGCCGACAAAUCCCGAUAGGAGCUGCACAUAUCUCUUUCUCAGGGCACACUCAGAUGAGCCAAACGUCGGGUAGGCCAGCCCAGAGUUGCCCCUGGUAGCCCCGGACAUCGCUCAGUUGGACCAACACUCAAAGGAGCACUUGCCCGGGGGGUAAAAUAAUGAUGACCCUCAGGAGCGCGACUCGCAAGGGAAAAGAAAAGGCUAGGCGGCAAAUGGUAAAACCAAUGUUGGGCAUUGCUGGAAGAGCUUUACUUAAGGCAAACUGUCAAGGGGUUCCCAUUAUUACCCAACCGCGUAAGGAACGCAAAAUCCGGGAACAUAACACCGAUAUGAUGGAAACUAGGGCGGCAAGAGUGGAACAAAACACCAGGCACAAGGCCGAGCCUUCCACCCUUUACCAAGUAUAUAGAUGCAUUAAUUAAAUAAGAUAUAAUGUGAUAUCCCAAUAAGUAAACAUGUUCCAACAAGGAACAACAUCUCCAUGUUCCAACAAGGAACAAACUUCAAUCUUCACCUGCAACUAACAACGCUAUAAGAGGGGCUGAGAAAAGCGGUAACAUAGCCAAUCAACGGUUUGCUAGGACUAGGUGGGUUAGAGGCUUAGUUCAACAAUAUGGGAGGCAUGAUAGGCAAGUGGUAGGUAUCGCAGCAUAGGCAUAGCAAAAGAGCGAGCAACUAAGCAAACAAAGAUAGAAGUGAUUUCGAGGGUAUGAUCAUCUUGCCUGAAAUCCCGCAAGGAAGAAGAACGAGUCCAUGAAGAAGACAAACGGACGUAGAUGAACGGGUCCUCACAAACACGACGUUAACGGAAACAACCCGAAGAAGCAACACCGGAAACAAGCACACAACAUAGUAAACAACCACGACAUGAAUAUGGCAUGAUGCAGAAUCAAGUAUGAUGCAUGUCCGGUUUAAUGAAGCAUGGCAUGGAAAAGUGCAACAAACAACACUACAAAUUAAGUGGAGCUUAAUAUGCAACGAGUUGCAUAUUGACGAAACACCACGACAAGUUAUUUAGUUCGAUCUCGUUUAUGUACCCAACAAUAUUAAAUGUUGUUAAACAAGGCAAGAGGGUGAAGAAAAAGAAAACUACCUAUCUAGGCAAGUUUAAAUGAGGCCGGAAGCAACGAACAACAUUUCCGGUAAAUCCCCAUAUGCCUUAGUAAUUUAUCAACAACAAUUUAAACAUUUUAAUUGUUGUUAUCACGAUGCAGAUGACAUGAACAAGUUUAUGCAAUUUUUAUUAAAAGUUGACAAGAGCAUUAUGAAGCAUUUGUCACUGUGGUGGAAAGGAAAGGGGUGCCACGGCAACGAUAAUGAAAACGGUGCCAUGGCAACAUUCCGGUUCCGGUAACUCGAUUGACAUACCGAUACAAAGGGGAAGUGUGCGGAUGCGUGCAAAAGAUGGUGGGACGCUCCCGGAUUCCGGGUGUCCCACGCGAUGACGGUAACAAGGCAAAAAAGGGGCAACGUGCAUCGACAAUUCGAACACGGUUCAAACAUGAGCAUCUCAAACAUCGCAAGCAUUCGAUCACGGAUGUCGUCUCGAUGGUUAUACCUUCGAAGCGUGUGUUUUCGGAGCGGUUCGGGUCAAGCGGUGUAGUCGUUCACGAUCGUCGUGGGAAGUAGUGGUACUCGGCGAUGGUAGAGGAAGUAGUUGUUCACAUGACGGUAGUCGAACUUGACGGUUCCGUUACACGGGUCUUCGGCAAUGGUAGUGGUACCCAUUUUGUAGUCCUGCACAUUCCGUAGACGUUCGAAGUCACGACGAGGAUCUUGACAUCCACGGUUCUUCGAGGGUCAACGGUACAUGUUCUGUAGAAGUUCGGGCGGUGGUAGUGGUACACGUUUAACAUCGACGGUAGUUGUCACGGUUCGUAGACGAACUUGGUGUAUCCGUGCAGUGGUCGAACUUGAGGUGGUCCCGGACCGGCUGGACUUGGCGCAUCCGACAACAAAAGUAUGCAAACGGGUUCGGUGGUGACUAUGAGGAAUCCAACUAUGUGGCACUCGGCAUCGAGGUCCCGCAGCUCAACAGCGACAGUAGGCAGGCCCUAACAGAGACGAAACAAGGCGGACAUAGGCGGAGGAGAACGCGACGAGGCGGGCGGUCGCGGCAGCGGCUCGCUCGCCGGCAACUGCUGGAGACGGAGGUCGGGCAGAUGGAGCUUCUACUCCGGCGAUGCAGCGGCGCAGGGAAUGGAGGGACGUGCUGCUCCGGGCGCUCGACGGCGUCUCCAUUGAGAACUGAGUCGAGGCAACGGCUCAGCGGCCAUGAGUUGGGCUCCUGUUACAGAGAACAAGAGAGAUGAGAGGUGGAGGUGGGAAGGAGAAGGAGGAAGAGGUGCGAGGGAAGGGGCCUUGGAGGUUGAGGUCGGCGGGAACGGCGCGCAGGCUGAUCCGGGCGGAGGUAUGCGGGACCCCGCCGACGGCGUGGCCUGAGACGACGGCGCCAUGGGGAUUGGUCCCCUGGACGCAUCCUGCGAUGCUGGAAGAAGCAACAGCGGGGUUUGUGGAGAGGCGAGGUGGAGGAGGAGCUGGCGGCGCAAGUAGAACCAGAGGGAGAGGGUCGAGGGAAUCGGUUGGAGCACGGGGAUCGAGCGGAUGGGGUGCUGCGAGGGAGAUGGUUCUCGGGCUCCUGGCGGCGCUGGUGGGAGCGAGAGGGAGGAGAGGAUCGGGUUAGGUUAGCAGCGGAACUGGUGGGCCGGCGCGAGAGGCCCAGGUGGGCUCGCUGAUGGGCUUAGAGGUAAUUGGCCGGCCUGGCUCCCUCUUCUCACUCCUCUUCUCACCCUUUUCAAAACAGAAAAAAUAAAGAGAAAGAAAAAGGGGAGAAAAGGAAGGUUAGAGAAAGAGUUUGGGCACGGGGAUAAUUUUCACGGACUCAGAAAAAUGUGCACGGUCCGGGAAAAUAGAAAAAGUUCAAGUUUGAAAGAUUAAAUUCAAAUUCCUUUGCAUUUAAUUCAAAAGGUUUGAACUAGGAUAGGUUUUUUCGAAGUGCCCAAAAAUGUUGAGAAAUUAGGCGGAGCUCCGAAAAAUGAUGAAAGGACAUGUGGCAAAGUUAGAGGCCAAGAGUUGAAAUAAUAAAAGGCAUUGGGAUUUUUGCAAGUGUGUUAAGGUAAUUCCACAUAAUUGGAAUAAUUACUAUAGCUCUCUAAAUAUCGAGAGGAUAAGUUGUAAAGAGAAUCACCAUGUGAAUUCCCUCGAUUUAAAUGGAUCAAAGAUCCAUACCAUUUGUUUAGUUGAGUUUUAAAACAAGUUGCAUAAUGACAUGAUGCAAUGCACAUGAUGCAAAGAUGAAAUGCAGCGGACCAAACAAAACACAUGACGAAACCCGGAAACCCUGGAAGGCAACUGAAGCUCCGGUCUUGGGGCAUUACAACACUCCACCACUACGAGAGGAUCUCGUCCCGAGAUCUAGGAUGGCACCGGAGGGAUAAACGGAAGAGAAAUAGAAGAGGUAAAACUAAGUUGCUUCUUUGACAAAUGAGUGAAACCACGAGCCUUGAGAGGUUGAACAAAUUGAAAGAAAGAAUGCAACGAGAAAGAGCGAAGUUGAAAGCACUCCGUUAGAAAAAAGAACAAGGAACAACAACACACUGCCUCCGGAACUAAUGAAUGAAUGAAACAAGGGGUAAGAAAGAUCUCAGACAGCACUCCGUUUGAGAAGAGAUGAAAGGCUUGAUAAGGCGAAAAGAGCUAGAGCAAAAAGGACACACCACUCCGGUUAAAUGGAUAAACCAAGAAAAGAACACGAUCCUGACAGAACGAAAAGAUGGGUUGAAGAGAGCAACAUCACAAAGCCUCCGGAACAAAAUUAAGAAUAGAAUGGAAUGAACGAAGGGAAACAAGAUCUUGAGGGAGCACGCUUACAACAAAUGCUAGAACGGAGUUGUUGGAAAACCAACAACGAAAAGAAUAAGCUUGAUAUGGUCUUAUGGAAUACAUCUCAAAUUAUGAGGUGAUAACCUGCCACUCACGGGAAAAGAAUUGAUUGGAUUUAUAUGAACAAGGAGACGAGAAACUUAUCACCGGAAGGAUACAUGAAGAACUUGGGUCAUUAAUGAGCACCAUAACAACAAUCCUUAGGGAAGGCUUUAGGUGAAAUAUAACCCAAUAUAAUUCCAACGAAGAGGUUGAUGGAUUUAACAUAUCUCAUUCUUAACAACAAUCGAAUCAUGAAACAUGAACUCAGAUUAUCAAGAAUGACACAAUACCAUCUCCAAUGAUACGGAAGAAAGAAUUGCACUCUGGAUUACAAUAUGAAGAAAGCUUGAGCUUGCUAGAAAUGAAUCUCGAUGAAAACUUCGAGAAGGAAUUAAAUCCUUGAUGAAUCACCAUGUCGAGCCUUCAUGAAAACUCCAGUAAAAAAAGAAUGAUCAAACGAAAUGGAGGGUUAAAAGAAUAAGGUUGAAGCCUUGCAAUGAUUAGAUGGACCUUCGAGAUGAUAUAUUUGAGAGAGCUUGGAACUCCGGAAAAGAAAAGAUGAAACAAUAGAAACCGAGAAUUUGGUGAACCUCCGGAAUAAGGAAUUAAAUCACUUGGAUGAAACAAUAAUAAGAAUUACAUUAUGCUUAUCCUUCACCAAUUCAAAUUGAUGACAAGCAAUGGAUUUUUGGCAUACUACUUAUUCUCGUAGAAAGAAUUAAGAUAGAUAUAGAGUCGACUUGGAAAAGGUCUUCAACGAACCACCGGUCGGGAUUGAAAAGAAUGAAUUAAUUGAUACGGAAGAGAGAUCUUAAACGAACCACCGUAAGAAUUGAAAAGAGCGUAUAAAGCAUGAAGACACACCAGGAAGGAUUAGCAAAUAAACGAAAAUGCUUGAGAGAAUUUAGAUAUAAGAGAACGAAGGGAUCACGAACUGAUUAGAGAUUACAUGAAUGAAGCACCGUUUGAUAGGAGAAUGAUAACUGACAGCUGAGAAUGAAUAAACCUGAAUUGAUGGACUCCAGAUAACAAACUGAGAAGACUCUUGAAUUGCUCCGGAUAUGUGAAAAUAAUUCUCAUGAUCAAAACAAUUACGAGAGGAUGGCAACAAGCUAGAAUCACGAAUCUUGAAGAGAAUGGAGCAAGAUUAAAGAGAAACUCUUCUUCGGUCUUCAAAAUCCGAGAAUGACGACGAGAAACACCACCAUGAAUUGUUGAGGCACACCGGAAGAAUCAAAAGCGAAGAGAUUGAGCCAACGAUGAAAAGAAAUUGAAAGAUCUUGGAGAAAGGCAUUUGACUGAUGAAAAAUUCAUUCUUAUGUCAAACUUCAAAAAGAAUUUAGGAUAGCUCCGGGAAAAUAGAAGAGUCAGGUAAGAUCCUGGAAAAGACCUGUGGGUUAGGGCCCACUCAAAAGAUACACCGUUGAACUAUUUAAAAGAGAAAACACCGGUUGAGUUAAAUGGCUUGAAUGGGAUAACAACCUCGAACUAGGUUGAACUGAUCUUGAAUGAAAAGACGAGCCUUCUAAGGUAUCUUGAGCACUCCGGGACAAAAUGAUAUCGAGAGGUGAACGAUUAAGAAUUGCGCCGGCAUGAGAAAGCCUUGAAAUGAGGAAAGGAAUAUGAUCAACAAAGCUUGAAUUGGUUCCACCGGAGAAGAAAAGAACGAGGAAUGACGAACUAGAAGCUCCGUUAGAAUCUUCAUGAGAAUCACCGGAUAAGAAUAUUGAUAGAAAAGAAUGGAGAGACUUCCAUAAUAAAAUGGAUAUUUGAUAAAGAAAUCCGAGUCCUCGAAGAAAAGGGGUGGGUGGGUGGGAAAACAAAGGCAACUUGGGAUGGAAGAAAACGACACCGUUGAGAAAGCUGACAUUGGAUCUUGCGGAUGUUGAAAUGUUCGGAUCCACUAGAAGAGAAGCACACCGAUUGAAAAGAAUUGACAUGACAAACUUGAUGAUCGAGAAGGACUAGUAUUCACAUAGGAAUAUGAGAACACCAUUUAGACAAGGGAUGGAAUCAACAUUUGACUUUGAAGCAACUCGAAUACCACAACUCAAAACAAAACAAGGAUUGGCUUGCAGAAUAAGCCGGAACAAACAUAUGAUAGAGAUUUCGUCCGAAGUUUUCGUGGUGGGGCCUACACGGGCUCGAUCGUACAGCACCAUCAUGUACAAGGCAGUGCACAUGACAUACGAAGCAUCCCCGAGUCGGCAUAGCCAAGGACUCUUUAAGACACAACGAGACCACUGUAAAACCGGCCGUGAAUAGGCGGACCACUAGACUCGAACCCCAAUUUCAUAUCAUACAUCUGUCGGAAAGAUAUCCUAAGAGCUACUUGAAUUCCCACUUAUAAACUCCCAAAAUUUUCCGGUUAUGCAAUCAGGUGUUGGGGAUACAGGGGAAGCAUAAUAUCUCACCCAAAACUAGCAAAUCCUACAUCCAGCUGUAUCCAUCCUUCAACACAUAACCAAGAAACCUUCGGAAAUCAUUUACCUCAACCUUCAAAAAGCAUCCGUUAUACGAGUUAUCGCGAUACUCCAGAACUCCCGCCCCAGUACUGGGUGGCGUCGAGGUUAUCUCACCAACGAACUGCAUAAAAGAGAUUUUUGAUGUCGGCAUACUAAACUCAGGUAUUCCAGAACUGUAACGAUAAAAUUAUGACGACAACACCUCAGAGCUCAACUCCCCGGGACACUUCCACAAAACCCCUGACAGGAGGCACCAAGACAAUGUUCUCGUCACAAAACCAUCGGAAAAAUUCCAAGAUACCCGCGUUAUCCUAAAAAAAAAUUUAGUGAAAUUUGAGAAGAGAAGAGUCAAAACUCUACGUCAGGAUGCCUUACCAGAGCGAUGAGGAGACUGGGAAGUAAAAAGAAUUCCUAAACUCUCCGAUAUAUAAUUCCUAAAUGACUCAAAACAUUUUUCUAGACACAACUCGGCUGCUAAAAACGAUCAAGCAAUAGGGCUCCUAAGGUCGGGGAAGACUCUGAUACCAACUUGAAAUGCCCUCGAUGCGGCUAUAUCUCCCACGUGUCGAAGCACGACUUAGAGGCAUAACCACAUUGAAAGCAAUGUCUCAAGUGAGGUAAUCUUCACACAACCCAUGUAAUACAAUAGGGGAAAAGAGAUACAUAGUUGGCUUACAAUCCCCACUUCACACAAUUACAUGAAUAAAACAUUACAUCAUCCAGAUACAAACAAGGUCCGACUACGGAACCAAAAUAAAAAAAGAACCACAAAUGCGAUAAAGGUCCCCGGUCGACCCCAACUGGGCUCCACUACUGAUCAACUAGAACGAAACAACAUAAAGGACAAGAUCUUCAACGAGCUCCUCCUUGAGCUUGGUUGCGUCAUCUGCGUGGACUCAUCGGCACCUGCAAACUGGUUUUGGAAGUAUCUGUGAGCCAGGGGGACUCGGCAAUCUCGCACCCUCAUGAUCAAGAUUAUUUAAGCUUAUAGGUAAGGCAAGGUAGAAAUGUGGAGCUGCAGCAAGCGACUAGCAAAUAUGGUGGCUAACAUACGCAAAUGAGAGCAAGAAGAGAAGGCAAAGCACGGUCGAUAGAAGUAUGAUCAAGAAGUGAUCCUAGAACAACCUACGUCAAGCAUAACUCCAACACCGUGUUCACUUCCCGGACUCCGCCGGAAAGAGACCAUCACGGUUACACACGCGGUUGACUCAUCUUAAUUAAGUUAAGGUUCAAGUUAUCUACAACCGGACAUUAACAAAUUCCCAUCUGCCCAUAACCGCGGGCACGGCUUUCGAAAGUUCAAAUCCCUGUAGGGGUGUCCCAACUUAGCCCAUGACAAGCUCUCAUGGUCAAUGAAGGAUUAGACCUCCUCCCGAGACAUUCCGAUCAGACUCGGUAUCCCGGUACAACAAGACAUUUCGACAGGGUAAAACUAAACCAGCAACACCGCCCGAAUGUGCCGACAAAUCCCGAUAGGAGCUGCACAUAUCUCUUUCUCAGGGCACACUCAGAUGAGCCAGACGCCGGGUAGGCCAGCCCAGAGUUGCCCCUGGUAGCCUCGGACAUCGCUCAGUUGGACCAACACUCAGAGGAGCACUGGCCCAGGGGGGUAAAAUAAUUAUGACCCUCAGGAGCGCGACUCCCAAGGGAAAAGAAAAGGCUAGGCGGCAAAUGGUAAAACCAAUGUUGGGCAUUGCUGGAAGAGCUUUACUUAAGGCGAACUGUCAAGGGGUUCCCAUUAUUACCCAACCGCGUAAGGAACGCAAAAUCCGGGAACAUAACACCGAUAUGACGGAAACUAGGGCGGCAAGAGUGGAACAAAACACCAGGCACAAGGCCGAGCCUUCCACCCUUUACCAAGUAUAUAGAUGCAUUAAUUAAAUAAGAUAUAAUGUGAUAUCCCAAUAAGUAAACAUGUUCCAACAAGGAACAACAUCUCCAUGUUCCAACAAGGAACAAACUUCAAUCUUCACCUGCAACUAACAACGCUAUAAGAGGGGCUGAGCAAAGCGGUAACAUAGCCAAUCAAUGGUUUGCUAGGACUAGGUGGGUUAGAGGCUUAGUUCAACAAUAUGGGAGGCAUGAUAGGCAAGUGGUAGGUAUCGCAGCAUAGGCAUAGCAAAAGAGCGAGCAACUAAGCAAACAAAGAUAGAAGUGAUUUCGAGGGUAUGAUCAUCUUGCCUGAAAUCCCGCAAGGAAGAAGAACGAGUCCAUGAAGAAGACAAACGGACGUAGAUGAACGGGUCCUCACAAACGUGACGUUAACGGAAACAACCCGAAGAAGCAACACCGGAAAGAAGCACACAACAUAGUAAACAACCACGACAUGAACAUGGCAUGGUGCACAAUCAAGUAUGAUGCAUGUCCGGUUUAAUGAAGCAUGGCAUGGCAAAGUGCAACAAACAACACAACAAAUUAAGUGGAGCUUAAUAUGCAACGAGUUGCAUAUUGACGAAACACCACGACAAGUUAUUUAGUUCGAUCUCGUUUAUGUACCCAACAAUAUUAAAUGUUGUUAAACAAGGCAAGAGGGUGAAGCAAAAGAAAACUACCUAUCUAGGCAAGUUUAAAUGAGGCCGGAAGCAACGAACAACAUUUCCGGUAAAUCCCCAUAUGCCUUAGUAAUUUAUCAACAACAAUUUAAACAUUUUAAUUGUUGUUAUCACGAUGCAGAUGACAUGAACAAGUUUAUGCAAUUUUUAUUAAAAGUUGACAAGAGCAUUAUGAAGCAUUUGUCACCGUGAUGGAAAGGAAAGGGGAAGUGGGGUAAUCCUCACACAACCCAUGUAAUACAUAAGGGAAAGAGAUACAUAGUUGGCUUACAAUCGCCACUUCACACAAUACAUAAAUAAAGCAUUACAUCAUCCAGAUACACUCAAGGUCCGACUACGGAACCAAAAUGAAAGAAGACUACCCUAAAUGCUACACAGAUCCCCGAUCGACCCCAACAGGGCUCCACUACUGAUCAACUAGAACGAAACAAUACAAAGGACAAGAUCUUCAUCGAGCUCCUCCUUGAGCUUGGUUGCGUCACCUGCUCGGUAACAU